UACGGAGGGUGCAAGCGUUAUCCGGAUUCACUGGGUUUAAAGGGUGCGUAGGCGGGCAGGUAAGUCAGUGGUGAAAUCCUAGAGCUCAACUCGGGAACUGCGCUUGAUACUGUCGAGCUAGAGUGUGGAAGGGGCGAUUGGAAUUCCGUGUGUAGCGGUGAAAUGCGUAGAUAUACGGAGGAACACCAGAGGCGAAGGCGGAUCGCUGGGCCAACACUGACGCUGAGACGCGAAAGCUAGGGUAGCAAAC
RNAcentral lists this ribosomal RNA (250 nucleotides) under uncultured bacterium. RNAcentral describes it as "partial 16S ribosomal RNA". It matches the Rfam family "Bacterial small subunit ribosomal RNA", at positions 524 to 773 of the family's 1533-position model. The record is from RNAcentral.